This 750-nucleotide ribosomal RNA is filed under the name Limosilactobacillus fermentum. RNAcentral's name for it is "bacterial SSU rRNA". Lineage: Bacteria; Bacillati; Bacillota; Bacilli; Lactobacillales; Lactobacillaceae. The record is from RNAcentral.
CUCAGGAUGAACGCCGGCGGUGUGCCUAAUACAUGCAAGUCGAACGCGUUGGCCCAAUUGAUUGAUGGUGCUUGCACCUGAUUGAUUUUGGUCGCCAACGAGUGGCGGACGGGUGAGUAACACGUAGGUAACCUGCCCAGAAGCGGGGGACAACAUUUGGAAACAGAUGCUAAUACCGCAUAACARCGUUGUUCGCAUGAACAACGCUUAAAAGAUGGCUUCUCGCUAUCACUUCUGGAUGGACCUGCGGUGCAUUAGCUUGUUGGUGGGGUAAUGGCCUACCAAGGCGAUGAUGCAUAGCCGAGUUGAGAGACUGAUCGGCCACAAUGGGACUGAGACACGGCCCAUACUCCUACGGGAGGCAGCAGUAGGGAAUCUUCCACAAUGGGCGCAAGCCUGAUGGAGCAACACCGCGUGAGUGAAGAAGGGUUUCGGCUCGUAAAGCUCUGUUGUUAAAGAAGAACACGUAUGAGAGUAACUGUUCAUACGUUGACGGUAUUUAACCAGAAAGUCACGGCUAACUACGUGCCAGCAGCCGCGGUAAUACGUAGGUGGCAAGCGUUAUCCGGAUUUAUUGGGCGUAAAGAGAGUGCAGGCGGUUUUCUAAGUCUGAUGUGAAAGCCUUCGGCUUAACCGGAGAAGUGCAUCGGAAACUGGAUAACUUGAGUGCAGAAGAGGGUAGUGGAACUCCAUGUGUAGCGGUGGAAUGCGUAGAUAUAUGGAAGAACACCAGUGGCGAAGGCGGCUACC